Molecule: unclassified non-coding RNA, 352 nt
Filed under: Homarus americanus (American lobster)
Lineage: Eukaryota; Metazoa; Arthropoda; Malacostraca; Decapoda; Nephropidae
Description: uncharacterized LOC121861499, transcript variant X2
Source: RNAcentral
GCCAGUACCAUCGUCACCGCCAUCAACCCUUUGUCCAGUGAUCCUGAACAAGAACAGCAGAAGAUGGCCGUUAGCAACAGCAGCCAGCCCGACGAUGGAACAUCGGACGCCACCACCAGCCAACUCCAACGACAAAACUCCUCUGGCUUUGGCUUCAAGAAGUUCUUCAAUGAGGUCAAAUCUGAUAUCAAGAGCUUUGUAGCAAAUACUGGGGAUAGGGAGUAGCGGUGUUGUCAGUGGCAACAAACAAACCAGAGAAUGAGGAGGAGGAACUUGCGCUAGCAGCUACCAAAAUUCAGGCUAGUUUCCGUGGACACCAAACAAGACAGGCAUUAAAGACCGGAGACUUACA